Molecule: long non-coding RNA, 564 nt
Organism: Neofelis nebulosa (Clouded leopard)
Lineage: Eukaryota; Metazoa; Chordata; Mammalia; Carnivora; Felidae
Exons: 3
Source: RefSeq, a predicted model, not a curated record
UUCAUUUAAGCGCCACCCAUUUCCCAUGUUUCUAGUCUGUAUUAGCAAGGACUGAUACAAUUAGGUCUUCACAUUAGCCUAUAGGAGAAAACUGAUGGCCUGUGUCACACAGUGAGAAAGCAGUGAAGAUGGGAUUGGAGCCUCAGCCUCCUGAUUCCUAAUUCAUGACCUCUUCCUUGACCCUCUGAUUCACAUUGGGGCUAGUUUAUUUAGAAAUCAGCCCAAGUGUCUUCUCGUGCUCUGGAUUGGUGUUUUUCAAACUGUGGAGUCAUGAAAUUGGUUCAGAGGAUCAUGAACCGGCAUUAAAAGAAAAUAGGCUAGAAACGGAGUGCAUCCCACAUAGUGGAGUUUGGUUUCCUGCAGAAGCAAACUCCAAUUUAAGGACUAUCCAGGAAGCACAAAUGAGUGACUGGGAAAAGUGAGACAGAGGAGGGAAAAAAACCCAUAAAAUGCCGUGGUAUACAGAAUGGACUGCAUAAGGAAAAGAAGAGGCCAGGUUGCCUGACGUGGUGAUGCAGGUGUGAACUGAUGACAAUGGGAAAGGAUAUAAAAGAGAGAUCAAAG